UACCAGCACACGAGCGAAGUUUCUCAGUCGGAUGCAGAUGGUCGAGUAGAACUCUUUCUGAUAUGCCUUCUCGAGCUCAAGGUCCUCGUAUCGCCCAAAGAAAUGCUCUAUCUUCACCUCCUGCUCGCAGAACCAAAGCGCCGUGUUGCGGUGACUCUUGUUCUGGUACAACCAUCCUAGAGGGGAGUAAGGAGCUUGCAUCUCCAGGAGCGCGUCUGGAGACGCG
Molecule: non-coding RNA, 226 nt
Filed under: Guillardia theta
Lineage: Eukaryota; Cryptophyceae; Pyrenomonadales; Geminigeraceae
Source: RNAcentral